UACGAAGGGGGCUAGCGUUGCUCGGAAUCACUGGGCGUAAAGGGUGCGUAGGCGGGUCUUUAAGUCAGAGGUGAAAUCCUGGAGCUCAACUCCAGAACUGCCUUUGAUACUGAGGGUCUUGAGUAUGACAGAGGUGAGUGGAACUGCGAGUGUAGAGGUGAAAUUCGUAGAUAUUCGCAAGAACACCAGUGGCGAAGGCGGCUCACUGGGUCAUUACUGACGCUGAGGCACGAAAGCGUGGGGAAGCAAACAGGG
Molecule: ribosomal RNA, 255 nt
Filed under: uncultured bacterium
Lineage: Bacteria
Description: partial 16S ribosomal RNA
Rfam family: Bacterial small subunit ribosomal RNA
Source: RNAcentral